GCGCGAAAACUUUACAAUGCUGGCAACAGCGAUAAGGGAACCUCGAGUGCCAGGUUACAAAUCUGGCUGUCGAGAUGCCUAAAAAGCAUUUCAUAGCAAGGGCCGGGCAAGACCGGUGCCAGCCGCCGCGGUAACACCGGCGGCUCGAGUGGUAACCGGUAUUAUUGGGUCUAAAGGGUCUGUAGCCGGCCGGAUAAGUCUCUUGAGAAAUCUGGCAGCUUAACUUUCAGGCUUUCAGGAGAUACUGUCUGGCUCGAGGCCGGGAGAGGUGAGAGGUACUUCAGGGGUAGGGGUGAAAUCUUGUAAUCCUUGAAGGACCACCAGUGGCGAAGGCGUCUCACCAGAACGGACCUGACGGCAAGGGACGAAAGCUAGGGGCACGAACC
Molecule: ribosomal RNA, 386 nt
Filed under: uncultured prokaryote
Description: bacterial SSU rRNA
Rfam family: Archaeal small subunit ribosomal RNA
Source: RNAcentral